Molecule: small RNA, 97 nt
Filed under: Flavobacterium succinicans
Lineage: Bacteria; Pseudomonadati; Bacteroidota; Flavobacteriia; Flavobacteriales; Flavobacteriaceae
Description: Flavo-1 RNA
Rfam family: Flavo-1 RNA
Source: RNAcentral
UUAUAGCAAUGAUCGCAGCGGCAUCCUUUUUUGUAUAACAGACAGUUUUUUAACUGCCUGUUAUACAAAAAAGAUAUAGCGAAGAGCAGGACGAUGU